Molecule: ribosomal RNA, 253 nt
Filed under: uncultured bacterium
Lineage: Bacteria
Description: partial 16S ribosomal RNA
Rfam family: Bacterial small subunit ribosomal RNA
Source: RNAcentral
UACGUAGGGUGCAAGCGUUGUCCGGAAUUAUUGGGCGUAAAGAGCUUGUAGGCGGUUUGUCGCGUCUGCUGUGAAAUUUCGGGGCUCAACCCCGAACUUGCAGUGGGUACGGGCAGACUAGAGUGUGGUAGGGGAGACUGGAAUUCCUGGUGUAGCGGUGAAAUGCGCAGAUAUCAGGAAGAACACCAACAGCGAAGGCAGCGCUCUGGGCCGGUACUGACGCUGAGGAGCGAAAGCAUGGGGAGCGAACAGG